CUACGGGAUGCUCCAGUGAGGAAUUUUGCGCAAUGGGGGAAACCCUGACGCAGCAACGCCGCGUGAGUGAAGAAGGCUUUCGGGUCGUAAAGCUCUGUCAGAUAGGAAAAAAGUUCAUAUGUAAAUAGCUUAUGAAUCUGAUGGUACUAUCAGAGGAAGCACCGGCUAACUCCGUGCCAGCAGCCGCGGUAAUACGGAGGGUGCAAUCGUUGUUCGGAAUUACUGGGCGGAAAGGGCGUGUAGGCGGUAUGGUAAGUCAGAUGUGAAAGCCCUGGGCUUAACUCAGGAAGUGCAUUUGAUACUGCCAUCCUUGAGUAUGGGAGAGGAGAGUAGAAUUCCCAGUGUAGAGGUGAAAUUCGUAGAUAUUGGGAGGAAUACCCGUGGCGAAGGCGACUCUCUGGACCAAUACUGACGCUGAGACGCGAAAGCGUGGGGAGCAAACAGGAUUAGAUACCCGGGUAGUC
This 464-nucleotide ribosomal RNA is filed under the name uncultured bacterium. Its description in RNAcentral is "partial 16S ribosomal RNA". It matches the Rfam family "Bacterial small subunit ribosomal RNA", at positions 339 to 795 of the family's 1533-position model. The record is from RNAcentral.